AUUGAACGCUGGCGGCAUGCCUUACACAUGCAAGUCGAACGGCAGCACGGGUUCUUGCACCUGGUGGCGAGUGGCGAACGGGUGAGUAAUACAUCGGAACAUGUCCUGUAGUGGGGAAUAGCCCGGCGAAAGCCGGAUUAAUACCGCAUACGAUCUACGGAUGAAAGCGGGGGACCUUCGGGCCUCGCGCUAUAGGGUUGGCCGAUGGCUGAUUAGCUAGUUGGUGGGGUAAAGGCCUACCAAGGCGACGAUCAGUAGCUGGUCUGAGAGGACGACCAGCCACACUGGGACUGAGACACGGCCCAGACUCCUACGGGAGGCAGCAGUGGGGAAUUUUGGACAAUGGGCGAAAGCCUGAUCCAGCAAUGCCGCGUGUGUGAAGAAGGCCUUCGGGUUGUAAAGCACUUUUGUCCGGAAAGAAAUCCUUGGCCCUAAUACGGUCGGGGGAUGACGGUACCGGAAGAAUAAGCACCGGCUAACUACGUG
Molecule: ribosomal RNA, 486 nt
Filed under: uncultured bacterium
Lineage: Bacteria
Description: partial 16S ribosomal RNA
Rfam family: Bacterial small subunit ribosomal RNA
Source: RNAcentral